UUCUCGGCCCACAAACCACAAGUCAAAGAACAUCGUCCUGCCAGGGCUUGGCUGGAAAGGGGCUGCUGGGCCUCGGAGACCAUCCCCUCCCACCCAGUCUGAGUCAUGCACUUAUACCCAGCCAUGUUCCAGAAAGGACUGCAGAGGCCAACACUUGCCAGACACUAGUGGACAUGUGACUGACCUCCUAAGUCACUCAGCCUCUAGGGCCUCAGUUACCUCAUCUGUGAAAUGGCACCAGGGCCUGGGAGCCCAGCCUGGGCCAGGCCUAGGGGAGUGCCUUGUCCCCACCCCACCCCUGAGCAGCCUAUGCUUGGGCAGAGUUUAGCCAGACCCCCACACAGACCCGUUAUCAUUUUUAACAUUGUCACCGUUUUCACCGUUUGGGCUUACAGAGGAGGAGACAAGGGCCCCAGAGGACAGCCAACCCACCAACCAUCUCCAACCUCUGUCCAGAAUAAAAAUCAGCUGUUCCCGCACCACCAUGAUCCCCAACCCCAACCUGUCCACACUUGGUCUCAUCCACAGAAGGCCUAGCAUCCAGCCAAGGGGCACUGAGGUGGCCCAGUCCGUUGAGCGUCAGACUUCGGCUCAGGUCAUGAUCUCACGGUCUGUGAGUUCGAGCCCCUCAUCAGGCUCUGUGCUGACAGCU
Molecule: long non-coding RNA, 652 nt
Organism: Herpailurus yagouaroundi (jaguarundi)
Lineage: Eukaryota; Metazoa; Chordata; Mammalia; Carnivora; Felidae
Exons: 3
Source: RefSeq, a predicted model, not a curated record